Molecule: ribosomal RNA, 418 nt
Filed under: uncultured archaeon
Lineage: Archaea
Description: bacterial SSU rRNA
Rfam family: Archaeal small subunit ribosomal RNA
Source: RNAcentral
UCGCCGUAAGGAUAGGACUAGCGGCCUAUCAGCUUGUUCGGUGAGGUAAUGGCCCACCAAGGCUAUAACAGGUACGGGCUCUGAGAGGAGGGGCCCGGAGAUGGGUACUGAGACACGGACCCAGGCCCUAUGGGGCGCAGCAGGCGAGAAACCUUUGCAAUGUGCGAAAGCACGACAAGGUUAAUCCGAGUGUCUCCUGCUAAAGGAGUCUUUUGUCAGUUGUAGAAUCACUGGUGAAUAAGGGGUGGGCAAGUUCUGGUGUCAGCCGCCGCGGUAAAACCAGCACCUCGAGUGGUCAGGAGGUUUAUUGGGCCUAAAGCAUCCGUAGCCGGUUGCAUAAGUUUUCGGUUAAAUCUAUGCGCUUAACGUAUAGGCCGCCGAAAAUACUGUGCAGCUAAGGAGUGGGAGAGGUACACGG